This 305-nucleotide ribosomal RNA is filed under the name uncultured bacterium. Its description in RNAcentral is "bacterial SSU rRNA". It matches the Rfam family "Bacterial small subunit ribosomal RNA", at positions 334 to 659 of the family's 1533-position model. The record is from RNAcentral.
AUCCCCUACGGGACGCAGCAGGGAAUAUUGCUCAAUGGGGGAAACCCUGAAGCAGCAACGCCGCGUGGAGGAUGAAGGUUUUAGGAUUGUAAACUCCUUUUGUGAGAGAAGAUAAUGACGGUAUCUCACGAAUAAGCACCGGCUAACUCCGUGCCAGCAGCCGCGGUAAUACGGAGGGUGCAAGCGUUACUCGGAAUCACUGGGCGUAAAGAGUGCGCAGGCGGGCUUGUAAGUCAGAUGUGAAAUCCUGUAGCUUAACUACAGAACUGCAUUUGAAACUAUGAGUCUAGAGUGUGGGAGAGGUG